Paramuricea clavata is the source of this 564-nucleotide non-coding RNA. The record is from the annotation of a GenBank genome assembly. NCBI's taxonomy places the organism in Eukaryota, Metazoa, Cnidaria, Anthozoa, Malacalcyonacea, Plexauridae.
AUUUCCUUCCAUACAAGCGUAUUAAAACAAGGCAAGAGGUGUUUAUAUAUUUAAUACGCAGUCACAGAUGUCAACAGUUGAAUUUACAUUUAUAUAUUAACAAUUUUCGAUCGUUCCUUUUCGUGUUACAAUUUCGACUAAAUCACUGCACUUUCAGCUUAUUAUGAUAUAAAAUGUCGUCAACAAUUUGAAUAGAAAUUGGCAUAUAUCAACGAUAAACUUUCAAUUGAAACCUUGUCUUGACAUGAAUCGACGACAUUGUGAAUUCACUGCUCUGCAAAGUCACUCGUUAUCUCUAAACAAUCGAAGUAAAUCGCUGCGUCGGCUUUCGAUAACGUUCUCAGCUCCUUAGUCAAAGUUCCCUUUGUAUUUGCAAUGUUGAAGAGCAGGAUUAUUCGUUAAUUUUACAGUUUUACUCGUCUUGUAAGCCAUCGUGUUGAAAACAAAAUUUUCUUCACUCCUUGCCGUAAGCCCUUCCUACUCCCCCUAAGUUUGAGUUUGUCGAAAUUUGCAUGCGCGAGCCGGUAUGCGCAGUGCAAAUUUUUGUGUCGAUUUAUGGCAGGC